This is a long non-coding RNA of Balaenoptera acutorostrata (minke whale), 2172 nucleotides long. RefSeq lists it as uncharacterized. The record is from RefSeq and is a predicted model, not a curated record. Lineage: Eukaryota; Metazoa; Chordata; Mammalia; Artiodactyla; Balaenopteridae. The transcript has 4 exons.
CACAGACACACAUAGAGGGAAGUCCAGGUGAACACACAGGGACAAGAUGCCACCUACAAGCCAAGGAGAGAGAUCUCAGAAGAAACCAACCCUGCCAACACCUUGAUCUCAGAUUUCUGGCCUCCAAAACUAGAAGACUGGGAUCGCCAGGAUAUAGAUUCUGAGAAGGAGGAGUCUUAUUGGCGAGGUCCCUUGGGAACGCCACCCGUGGAGGAGUGAGGACGACUGAUGGGGCACAAGCAGAAGUCGAAUGGCACUGCGGUUGCAAAAGCGCCAUCAACUAACCCUCUCGGCCAUGACGGCGCAAGCGGUCCGCUGUGGGCCACGGAGUGUGAGCUGCACCCCCUGGGAGGACGCGUGACCUCAGGUGGUUGAUGGUAGGAAGAGGUCUUCAGCACAACUACAGCUGAUCCUGUCAUAGUCUUUCCUCUGUUACCCUGCAGAUCUGCUGAUAAGGAAUAAGAGUUUUACUUCUCUACCAAGAUUGCAGCAGCUGCCACAUGAGUCCAUGAUAUGGAAGCCACAUGCAGAGGAUGGCAGAGGAGGAAGAUAGCCAUAGGCUGCUUGUGACGGAUGGAGACCCCAUGUCAGCUCUGGACUGAUGGCCUUCACAGUACUUCAUAUUAUAAAAACAUAAAUUUCUAUAUCCUUUAAAAGGGGCAUUAUUUUGGGAUUUUCAGGUUUUUGUAGCCAUGCCCAGGCCUAACCAAUAUACAGACUAAUUGCGUUUGUAGUUGUUGCUAACUGAUCAGAACCCUUUCGGAAGGGCUUCUAAGAAUUAGUGGUCCAGAAAAAGAAAAGAUAUGGAGCAUCAUGAAAACGAUACUUUCAGGGACUUCCCUGGCGGUCCAGUGGUUAGGACUCUGCGCUUCCACUACAGGGGGCGCAGUUCGACCCCUGGUCUGGGAACUAGGAUCCCGCAAGCUGCGCCGCGCGGCCAAAAAACAAAAAACAAAACAAAAAAACACCCAUACUUUCAAGUGUAUCUACACUAGCAUGUUGAAUUUCUAGAUGACUCUCUCAUUAGUUGAUUUUUUUUUUUGAUGCAGCAGAUAAGCCCAUCUAGACAUGAUCCCAAAUGUUGAUAUAGCCAAUUUGGAGGGAAUAGCCACCAAAUAUAACUCUUAAUUACAUAAAAGUUAAACAUUAAAUGGAUGUUAAUUAUGAUGAAAAUAGUGACAUUUUUACACCAGUGCAAAUGUGGCUCAUUAAAGUACAGAGGCUUUUAAUAAAUACAUUUAGAAAAAGAAGAGCCUACUGCUAAAGGAAAGUUUGUCAUCUGGGAUGUAUUGUUAAAGGAAUUUUUACCAAAUGAAUAUUUCUGUGAACUAACUUAUAACUUUGAGAGAAAAACUGUAUUGACCUCUGAAACAAUCAAUACAUGGAUUCUUUAGCAUUAAGUCUCAUUGGUACAAAAAUUAGGAGGAACAGUAUAAUUUGUACCGUGAAUGGACAGAAUAAUCUAUUACUCUCUUUUGGGGACAUGCAACUUAUUUUCCCAGAUUUCAUCAUUAUGUGGCUAAUUUAGAGAACAGUGUUAUUGGGUGCUUCGAGGAUUUAAACCUUGAUGAUGCUGAAAAGUUUCUUUUGUUAGCACUGCUUCUAUAAAAACACUCAGGCAUUUUGAAAUGAUUUUUGAAAUGGUCUGACAGUACAGGCAAUUAAAAAACACAAAGUUAAUUCCUUCCAUCCCCCAACUGUAAGACAUUAGAAAUGAAAGUGGCCUGAGUAAAAAUUAAAAAAAAAAAAAGGUUUUAGAGAGACAUCCUCUUUUUCUUUCUUUCUUUUUUCUCUUUAUCAGUGCAAAUGUUCAUGUUUUCAUCCCUGUAGGAUUCUUUCCUCACUGCAUUCCACAAGCCCAGAGAAACUCGCUGGAACUCAUACAAAACCCUCUCCUGCUACCAUAUUAGGAAUCAAAAUGUGUAGCAGAAACCAACUGCCAAGUCGAGAUAAUCAACAGGGAAUGUCUGUGCCUUCAAGCCAAAUGAGUGCAGAAAAAUGAUCAAGGCAGCAAAAUAAAUAAUAAAACUGAGGACUGGCUUUAGAUUAUGGUCUUGUUAUAUCCCACUCACUAAUAAAGCUGUGCUGGAAAUUUCUGUACCUCUUGGCCAUUCAGGUACCAGAGUCAAGUUCGGUCUAAUUUUACUGUGGAUAUAAUUCACUCUAGGUCAC